GAGGGAAGAACCCUGGCUCAGUUCCCUGUUGGGCACAGGGAGCAGUUUCCCUCCAUCUGUUAGGAGCUUCUGAUUAGAUGAGUUCUCUGCAAUGCCACUCUGGAAACUGUUGCAGCUCGUCUCUCCUCUGGCAAAAAUCCACCGCUCCACUGUCCCCCCAUAUCGUGGUCAGCUGCAGUAAAGCUGCUGAAGGACCCUCUGAUUCACAUUUCAAGAUACAACUGCAAUCAAGCCAGCUCAAGGCUUUUCAGCGCUCCAGGCAAAGUCACCUUUGUCACAUGAAGAGUAAGGGGCACCAGCCAUGUGAAGCAGUUCCUGUUCUGAGUAAGGACAACUCAGAAGAGGGCAUGGGGCUUGGACGGUGAGGUGGAGUUUUUGUUCCUAUCACCUCCAGUGAUUAGAGCAUGACUGCCUACCCCAGUCAGCAUCCCCACCCUGCCCAUCACAGCACAGAGGCAGCUGGAGCAACACCCUCCUCAAAGGUGGCAGCUGAGACUAUGGACAACCACUUGCCCCUUCCCUGCACACACUCACACCCAACCAGCCUGGCCUGCCUGUGACAGCAGUUACAACAAAGAACGAGCCUCUCACUGUCAUCCCCAAACCUGCCUCUAGCGAGGAAUGGCUGCAGCCCUUCCUAAUGGUGAACCUGCACUGAAACACAAUUUGAACAUUCAUAAUCUCCUAUAUCGGCUUCUCAUACCAUUAAUGCCACCAGUGAGGUGACCUUUCAGCAAAGUGUCAGGUACUAGCAGCAGGCUCAGGAUUGCAAACUUUAAUUAAAAACUGUAUUUUAAAAUAAAACUCAGUUUAGAUGCACCGAUAAGUGAUUUUUCACUACGUGAAAUUUCAUAGGGCUUUACUGAGGAAAAAAAAAAUCAUUGCAAGCUUCCUAUUAAUUUCUGGCUAGCUGGGUUUCAAGGACAAUUUUAUUAAAAGUGAGCAGAGCUUUCCAUAAUAAAACCUUUGCAGUUGUUAUGACCACCUGUGCUACCUCCCACCUCGAUCCACCACGUGACAUAGCAAAGCUAAUUUUCCCACUUCCUAGCAAGGAAAUUGAGCUGUUACAAUUUCAGACGAUAGUGCUUACAUACACAUAUUCUAGACUUCAUUAUUUUUCUGUGUGGCAAGGCUGGAGCUGGCAGAGGUUGUGUCUAAACAGCUUUAAGAGCUCUUUCUCUAUGCAGCAGGGUAUAAAAGUUUAGAUAAAAUCAUUAAAGUUUCUGAAUGGAUAUGAAAGCAAGAAAAAAUAGGGAAAUAAAACUGGGUUCCUGGUUGAAGUGCAGAGCUCUGUACGGAAAAGGUCUCAAAGGAGACAAUCUUAAUGGAUUACUGUUAAUAAACAUUACAGUUUAUUAAACAGUUUAUAAAACAAACAACAGGGUGGCACUCAUCUGAACUGAAACACAAACAGGGAAAUGAUGACUCUUGAGGCUUACUCACCACAGAUAAAUUGCUUCCUGCUCUCUCCUCAGCCCUAGGUCUAGGUUUUAUGAAAACACUAAUUGCUCCCCACUGUCACUCUCAGCCACCAGUGACUCAGUGAAAAAGAAAAAAAUCAAAUAACAAAAAACCCCAUACACCUGCUUGAUGGGGUCCCUGUGGAUCAGCCUUUUUUUGGUUGUGCCCAUCUCUUUUUAAUUUCACAGGGUAAAACCCAUCAGUCUCAGCCACAAAGAAAGGGCAGGAGAAUUCACUUUAGGGAGAAACUUGGCAAGCUGAGAAAUGGAAGGUAAGGGAGGAGAUUAUAAUUUAUGCAUAGGGGUAGUUUACAUGCUGUCUCCUCUCCAUGGUGAGAAUGUAGCAAGCUGUCUAAUUGGAGCCUGGUUUUUGGCUCCACUUAAAUUCCUCAGAAAACAUUGCACUCUACAGUCUGCAUAGUUAGAUUUUGUAGCUUUUGGCCACAGCAGAAGCCUAAUAAAAAAUACAGGGAUGAAGAGAGCAAGCUAUUUCAGGCAAAACAUUCGGGAGCAAUGCAAAGAGGUCACAACUGGUGAGAAUCUGCACAAAAUUGGAUUAGGCACAGAUGAAGUAUCCGAUCAUCUUUCUGCCCAAAUUCAUAAAUAUAUUAGCACACACAACCAUCAGUGUCACAUCUUGUGUUUAUAUCCAGCAACUGCCCUCUUCACUGGUCUCUGACAAUUCUGAUCAAUUGUUACUGCCCUUCAAAAGAAAUUUUGGUUUCAAUUUCAAACCCUACUCCGGGUGUUUCCAGUAGAUAUGUGUUAAAAAAGGUGCAGUGACACUCUGGCAGGGGAUUGGAUGGAGAUCCUUCUUGCAUUUGCUCAGAGCCUGUGCAAUACCUACAAAUGAACACCUCAUUACCUAAAUACUUGCAGUUCAAUAGGUUAUUGAGGUUUGAAAAAAAAAGACCUUAAAAAUUUAAUUCCCACUAUGCAAAAACUAAUGUUAAACCAGCAACAAUAUCUGCUAAUUCAGUCAAAUAAAGUGGAUACCCAUCCACUACAUUAUGUAGUUUUGAGAAUCAGAUCCUAAAGAUGCAAGUCUGGAAGCCCUAAAAGUUUCAUAGCUGACAUUCAGGGGAGCGAAUUUAUUGAGUGAGGACAACACAUCACCGGGCAGGGAAAAGGAAACACUGAUCUUGAGUGUUAACAUGAGCUGUGUCACUGUGGGCACCAGCCCCAGCUUCAUGACCUCCUGUGCCUCGGUGUUCCUGCAGCCAAUAAAUAAGAAGAAUUUAAGUAACGUAUAGACUAGAGGAAAUCUGUAUAUUUUGGUAAAAUGCAGUUAGGUAUAUGAUAUUUCAACUUCAGAUGGAUGUUUUAGCAAAUUGGUGUGAGUUACCACUUUUGAGUGAAGCUAGAAAGUGCAACUAAUAAUGAGAUUUAAGGAAAGACAACUUAAAGAAAAUGCAGAAGGGCAAAGCCGCAGCUUUGGAAGCAUCCUCUCUCUGAAACUGUUUACUGAAGUCACGACCUUUAUUAACUGCAUUCCUUUCCUCCUAAAAGACAAAAUUCACCUAUAAAUUAUUUGGAAAGGCCAGGUUCUCCACAUUAAUUUACUGAGGCUUUCAUCCUUCUGCACAGCAGUGUAUUUUUAAUACUGCUCAAAAGGUAUCAAGUACCUUCUUUCCAACCUAUUCACCAGCUCUAAAUGGGAUUUGACAUUACGAGGUCAGCUUUGCUUUGCCUCUUAGAUGACUAACAAAUUCGCAGAGACAGAGGUUCACUGUUCUCACAUGGAUCAAUGUUCAACAGACCACUGGGUUUGAUGGCAAACAUUUAACUUUCAGCCAUUAAGUAGAAAAGGAAAUGCAGGUUGUAACAAAUUACCUGGCAUCUAAACAAUGUUAAAGUUGUCCAUUAGGAGUGCCCGUAGACAGUGCAACAGCACAUUAGUUUUAAAUUGCAAAGUUCAGUCAGUGGAGUGAUAGAGUUCAGAUCUGAAGCGUUUUACCAAGCUAUUGAAAGGCCUGUACAGUGAAAUGUAUUUAAAGUGAACAAGAGUAGAAUGGAAAUACGUUUGGAUAGUCAGAAGAAUAUUGCAAUCCCCCUUGUCCUCCCCAUCCCCUGCAAAAGCAAACAAAAACACUGAAAAGCACUGUAAACUAUAAUGGUAGUUAUAACAAAUUUUUCUAUAAAAUUGUUACAUUAAAUUGAUUUCACUGUGUUUAAAUUACCUGUGCAUCAUGAAUAAAAUAUAUUUUUACCA
Molecule: long non-coding RNA, 3672 nt
Organism: Pseudopipra pipra
Lineage: Eukaryota; Metazoa; Chordata; Aves; Passeriformes; Pipridae
Exons: 2
Source: RefSeq, a predicted model, not a curated record